Molecule: ribosomal RNA, 253 nt
Filed under: uncultured bacterium
Lineage: Bacteria
Description: partial 16S ribosomal RNA
Rfam family: Bacterial small subunit ribosomal RNA
Source: RNAcentral
UACGUAGGGUGCGAGCGUUAAUCGGAAUUACUGGGCGUAAAGUGUGCGCAGGCGGCCGAGCAAGUCGAGUGUGAAAGCCCCGGGCUUAACCUGGGAACUGCGCUCGAAACUACUUGGCUGGAGUGUGGCAGAGGGAGGUGGAAUUCCACGUGUAGCGGUGAAAUGCGUAGAGAUGUGGAGGAACACCGAUGGCGAAGGCAGCCUCCUGGGCCAACACUGACGCUCAUGCACGAAAGCGUGGGGAGCGAACAGG